Molecule: ribosomal RNA, 1176 nt
Filed under: Rhamphoriopsis muriformis
Lineage: Eukaryota; Fungi; Ascomycota; Sordariomycetes; Rhamphoriaceae
Description: SSU rRNA
Rfam family: Eukaryotic small subunit ribosomal RNA
Source: RNAcentral
AUCCCGACUUCGGAAGGGAUGUAUUUAUUAGAUUAAAAACCAAUGCCCUCUGGGCUCAAUGGUGAUUCAUAAUAACUUCUCGAAUCGCACGGCCUUGCGCCGGCGAUGGUUCAUUCAAAUUUCUGCCCUAUCAACUUUCGACGGCUGGGUCUUGGCCAGCCAUGGUGACAACGGGUAACGGAGGGUUAGGGCUCGACCCCGGAGAAGGAGCCUGAGAAACGGCUACUACAUCCAAGGAAGGCAGCAGGCGCGCAAAUUACCCAAUCCCAAUUCGGGGAGGUAGUGACAAUAAAUACUGAUACAGGGCUCUUUUGGGUCUUGUAAUUGGAAUGAGUACAAUUUAAAUCCCUUAACGAGGAACAAUUGGAGGGCAAGUCUGGUGCCAGCAGCCGCGGUAAUUCCAGCUCCAAUAGCGUAUAUUAAAGUUGUUGCGGUUAAAAAGCUCGUAGUUGAAACUUGGGCCUAGCUGGCCGGUCCGCCUCACCGCGUGCACUGGUCCGGCCGGGCCUUUCCCUCUGGGGAACCGCAUGCCCUUCACUGGGCGUGUCGGGGAACCAGGACUUUUACUUUGAAAAAAUUAGAGUGUUCAAAGCAGGCCUAUGCUCGAAUACAUUAGCAUGGAAUAAUAGAAUAGGACGUCGCGGUUCUAUUUUGUUGGUUUCUAGGACCGCCGUAAUGAUUAAUAGGGACAGUCGGGGGCAUCAGUAUUCAAUUGUCAGAGGUGAAAUUCUUGGAUUUAUUGAAGACUAACUACUGCGAAAGCAUUUGCCAAGGAUGUUUUCAUUAAUCAGGAACGAAAGUUAGGGGAUCGAAGACGAUCAGAUACCGUCGUAGUCUUAACCAUAAACUAUGCGAACUAGGGAUCGGACGAUGUUAUUUUUUGACUCGUUCGGCACCUUACACGAAAGUACAAGUUUCUGCGUUCCGGGGGGAGUAUGGUCGCAAGGCUGAAACUUAAAGAAAUUGACGGAAGGGCACCACCAGGGGUGGAGCCUGCGGCUUAAUUUGACUCAACACGGGGAAACUCACCAGGUCCAGACACGAUGAGGAUUGACAGAUUGAGAGCUCUUUCUUGAUUUCGUGGGUGGUGGUGCAUGGCCGUUCUUAGUUGGUGGAGUGAUUUGUCUGCCUAAUCGCGAUAACGAACGAGACCUUAACCUGCUAAAUAGCCCGUAU